This is a long non-coding RNA of Sapajus apella (tufted capuchin), 138 nucleotides long. RefSeq lists it as uncharacterized. The record is from RefSeq and is a predicted model, not a curated record. NCBI's taxonomy places the organism in Eukaryota, Metazoa, Chordata, Mammalia, Primates, Cebidae. The transcript is spliced from 2 exons.
GCAUGCGGGGUCCACACCUGUGCCACAGCGGAGGACCCAGGGCUCUCCCUCGCCUUGACAAUGUGUGGAAUCCUGGCUGGGAUGCCCCAGGUGAUGACACCUCCAGGAAACCAGGGCUUCAGCUAUCGCAGAGAUCAC